UACAGGGGGUGCAAACGUUGUUCGGAAUUAUUGGGCGUAAAGAGCUCGUAGGCGGUUUGUCGCGUCUGCUGUGAAAACUCGGGGCUUAACUCCGGGCCUGCAGUGGGUACGGGCAGACUAGAGUGCGGUAGGGGAGACUGGAAUUCCUGGUGUAGCGGUGAAAUGCGCAGAUAUCAGGAGGAACACCGGUGGCGAAGGCGGGUCUCUGGGCCGUAACUGACGCUGAGGAGCGAAAGCGUGGGGAGCGAACAGG
This 253-nucleotide ribosomal RNA is filed under the name uncultured bacterium. Its description in RNAcentral is "partial 16S ribosomal RNA". It matches the Rfam family "Bacterial small subunit ribosomal RNA", at positions 524 to 776 of the family's 1533-position model. The record is from RNAcentral.